UUUGCAUGGGGGCACCCUGACCGCAAUGCCGCGUGAGUGAAGAAGGCCUUCGGGUUGUAAAGCUCUUUUGUCAGGGAAGAAACACCGGCUCUAACACAGUCCGGGAAUGACGGUACCUGAAGAAUAAGCACCGGCUAACUACGUGCCAGCAGCCGCGGUAAUACGUAGGGUGCAAGCGUUAAUCGGAAUUACUGGGCGUAAAGCGUGCGCAGGCGGUUAUACAAGACAGGCGUGAAAUCCCCGGGCUUAACCUGGGAAUGGCGCCUGUGACUGUAUAGCUAGAGUGUGUCAGAGGGGGGUAGAAUUCCACGUGUAGCAGUGAAAUGCGUAGAUAUGUGGAGGAAUACCAAUGGCGAAGGCAGCCCCCUGGGAUAACACUGACGCUCAUGCACGAAA
RNAcentral lists this ribosomal RNA (396 nucleotides) under uncultured bacterium. RNAcentral describes it as "bacterial SSU rRNA". It matches the Rfam family "Bacterial small subunit ribosomal RNA", at positions 365 to 758 of the family's 1533-position model. The record is from RNAcentral.